UACAAGAACGCCCGGGCUUCGGCCUGGUUAUUCAUAACCCUUUGUUGUCCGACUCUGUUGCCUCCGGGGCGACCCUGCCUUCGGGCGGGGGCUCCGGGUGGACACUUCAAACUCUUGCGUAACUUUGCAGUCUGAGUAAACUUAAUUAAUAAAUUAAAACUUUUAACAACGGAUCUCUUGGUUCUGGCAUCGAUGAAGAACGCAGCGAAAUGCGAUAAGUAAUGUGAAUUGCAGAAUUCAGUGAAUCAUCGAAUCUUUGAACGCACAUUGCGCCCCCUGGUAUUCCGGGGGGCAUGCCUGUUCGAGCGUCAUUUCACCACUCAAGCCUCGCUUGGUAUUGGGCAACGCGGUCCGCCGCGUGCCUCAAAUCGUCCGGCUGGGUCUUCUGUCCCCUAAGCGUUGUGGAAACUAUUCGCUAAAGGGUGUUCGGGAGGCUACGCCGUAAAACAACCCCAUUUCUAAGGUUGACCUCGGAUCAGGUAGGGAUACCCGCUGAACUUAAGCAUAUCAAUAAGCGGAGGAAAAGAAACCAACAGGGAUUGCUCUAGUAACGGCGAGUGAAGCAGCAAUAGCUCAAAUUUGAAAUCUGGGGUCUUCGACGUCCGAGUUGUA
This 612-nucleotide ribosomal RNA is filed under the name fungal sp. Its description in RNAcentral is "eukaryotic LSU rRNA". The stretch from base 158 to 311 matches the Rfam family "5.8S ribosomal RNA". The record is from RNAcentral. Lineage: Eukaryota; Fungi.